GAGUGCUCUGUAUGCUGGAAUUAGCAUUACAGAGAUGUGGUCUGAGUAUCCGAGGUGGGGGCGGGGCUCCGCCCGGUACGCACCGGCAAUGUUCGUGUAAACAUUAUCCAGCGUGUUCGCUCCUCUCGUAGCAAAGUCCACAUGCUGAUGGAAUUUAGGGAGAACAGACUUGAGAUUUGCAUGAUUAAAAUCCCCAGCGAUAAUAAACAGUCCGUCUGGAUGAAUGUUCUGCAGUUCGCUGAUGGCUCUGUAAAGUUCGCUCAAUGCUUCCUUCGCAUUCGCGCUGGGCGGAAGAUACCCCGCGACAAUAAGCACGCUGGUGAAUUCCCGUGGUAAAUAAAAAGGUCUGCAUCUAACAAUAGCAAAUUCCACCAUCGGAGAACAGUACGCCACAACAAGCACAGAGUCCUUGCAGCAUUCGGUGUUAAUGUAAUCACAAACGCCUCCUCCUCGUGUUUUACCGGACUGAGCUGCAUUUCUAUCGGCGCGAUACGAUGCUAGCCCGUCUAGCUGAAUGGCACUGUCUGGAAUGUUGUCACUAAGCCAUGUUUCAGUGAAAAUUAAAACACAACAGUCUCUGUACUCACAUUGGGUCGUUCGCUGAAGUCUGAUACAGUCCAGUUUAUUCUCCAGAAAGCAUGCAUUUGCGAGGAAUAACGAUGGUAGAGCCGGCCGGCUUGGGUUAGCUUUUAGCCUAGCACGGACCCCGGCUCGCUUUCCACGCUUCUGCUUCCUCGAGCACCGCUUGCGGCGCCCCCUCCCCCGGUCACCUGCUUCAGGUAACACCGAGGACUGCAGGCCAGGUUCGCGAAGUAGGCAGAGUUCAUGCAGAGUUUGCAGCAGAUCAUCCUGCAGGUUGGUUUCUGACUGUUUUCUCAAUUGUAGCAGUGUAUGGCGGUUGUAAACUGAGUCAAAAGUGGUUUCCAUACGUUUAUAAACAAAACUGUCCUAAACAAAUUUACAAACUUUUUCUGAAAACAACAAAAAAACACCGUUUUUCGACCCCAGAGCGGCCGCUGCGUGUUAACGCGCCGCCAUCUUGGUCCUAGUUCACAGGAGACAAUGAGAAUGAUCAUCAAAAUGAUCAAUCCCGAAGGAGUGCAACUCCGGCGAGCUCGCCGUCUGCGCCGUCGCCAGUACUGCAACCGAGGCCCCAACGCUUUAUGGCAUAUGGACUCGUACGAUAAACUAAAGCCUUAUGGCAUUGCUAUAAAUGGUUGCAUUGACGGAUUUAGUCGCCAUGUCAUGUGGAUGGAGGCGUACAACACUAAUAACGACCCAAAAGUAAUUGCGGGUUAAUGGAUAAGCACAGUAACGCGCAUUGGAGGCUGCCCUCAGCGCUUGCGUGCCGAUCCAGGUACCGAGAAUGGGCAUGUGAGGGAAAUGCAGAUGUUUUUACGCAGAAAUCACUUGGACCCUUACGCAGGAGAUAGAAGUUUUAUUUAUGGAUGCAGCACGGCAAACCGACGCAUAGAAUCGUGGUGGGGCAUUCUGCAUAAACAAAGUGGACAGUUCUGGAUGGACAUUUUCCAGACGCUGAGAGAUGAUGGACAUUUUUCCGGUGACUUCUUGGACAGAAAUCUGAAUGUUCUGCUUCCUUAACCUAAUUCAGGAGGAACUAGACGAAGUUGUGAGGACAUGGAACUCCCAUCAAAUAAGGCCAAGGCCAGGAAUUCCAGGAGGACGCCCAAUUUUAAUGUACUGCAUGCCACAGAUUUAUGGUGCAGGGGAGGACAAACUCAAAUAUGUGCUUCCAGAAGAGGUCACUGUUUGCAAAGAGGAAUGCACCCCAAAAUCCCAGUUCCCCUGUGAUGAAACAGUCUUUGAGUUUUGUGCUCUUCUUAUUGAUGAAAAUGGCUGGGAUGCUUCUGUUGAUGCAUACCAUGCAGCUGAACUGUACAUUCUCUUAAGAAAUCAAAUACUAGAUAAUAUCUAGAACUGAGCUUCUCAACAGUGGGGAUCCACUGAUGAGCUGAGCCAAGCCAGUCGGUUCUCGGAACUAAAGUCACUUUCUAAGAGAUUGUGUCUGUAGUUAUAUUAAAAUAAAUGGUGUUUAUAUGCAUGCAUAAUAAAAAUUUUAUAAUUUCAAAUAUA
Trichomycterus rosablanca is the source of this 2094-nucleotide long non-coding RNA. RefSeq lists it as uncharacterized. NCBI's taxonomy places the organism in Eukaryota, Metazoa, Chordata, Actinopteri, Siluriformes, Trichomycteridae. The record is from RefSeq and is a predicted model, not a curated record. The transcript has 2 exons.